UACGAAGGGUGCAAGCGUUACUCGGAAUUACUGGGCGUAAAGCGUGCGUAGGUGGUUUGUUAAGUCUGAUGUGAAAGCCCUGGGCUCAACCUGGGAAUUGCAUUGGAUACUGGCAGGCUAGAGUGCGGUAGAGGAUGGCGGAAUUCCCGGUGUAGCAGUGAAAUGCGUAGAGAUCGGGAGGAACAUCUGUGGCGAAGGCGGCCAUCUGGACCAGCACUGACACUGAGGCACGAAAGCGUGGAGAGCAAACAGG
This 253-nucleotide ribosomal RNA is filed under the name uncultured bacterium. RNAcentral describes it as "partial 16S ribosomal RNA". It matches the Rfam family "Bacterial small subunit ribosomal RNA", at positions 524 to 776 of the family's 1533-position model. The record is from RNAcentral.